UGCCCCUAUUCCCGAAGAAGAAGCCUAUGCCGUCGCACCACGCCCCAAUCUUCGCUCCGGCCAUGGCCCUCACCAUGCCUGCACACGACCCCGAAGACGAGAGCUAAGAUUCAAGCCACAGAUGAAUCCGGCAAGCAAGUACGGAGCGCACUUAGAAUCAAGAACAUCAACAAUUCCCAACCUUUAAGGUUACAACCAAUUGUCUCUAUAAAAUUCUAGAGGCACCAUAAUGUUGAUUAACAACACAACACAUGGUCAUACAUAUGUAAUUAUUGCACUA
This is a long non-coding RNA of Zea mays, 280 nucleotides long. RefSeq lists it as uncharacterized. The transcript is spliced from 2 exons. Lineage: Eukaryota; Viridiplantae; Streptophyta; Magnoliopsida; Poales; Poaceae. The record is from RefSeq and is a predicted model, not a curated record.